CCCGCACAAGCAGCGGAGCGUGUGGUUUAAUUCGAUGUUACACGAAGAACCUUACCUGGGUUUGACAUGCUAGUGGUAAUGAAGCGAAAGCGGACCGACCCUUCGGGAGCUUGUACAGGUGCUGCAUGGCUGUCGUCAGCUCGUGUCGUGAGAUGUUCGGUUAAGUCCGCUAACGAGCGCAACCCUCGCUGUGUGUUACAAGUGUCACACGGAACUGCCGGUCAUAAACCGGAGGAAGUGGGGAUGACGUCAAGUCAGCAUGGCCUUUAUAUCCUGGGCUACACACACGCUACAAUGGGAAGGGACAAUAGGUUGCGAAGCCGCGAGGCGGAGCCAAUCCAGCAAAACUUCCCUCAGUUCAGAUUGCAGGCUGCAACUCGCCCGCAUGAAGUUGGAGUUGCUAGUAAACGCAGGUCAGCCAUACUGCGUUGAAUACGUUCCCGGGGCUU
This 449-nucleotide ribosomal RNA is filed under the name uncultured Anaerolineaceae bacterium. Its description in RNAcentral is "bacterial SSU rRNA". It matches the Rfam family "Bacterial small subunit ribosomal RNA", at positions 920 to 1382 of the family's 1533-position model. Lineage: Bacteria; Bacillati; Chloroflexota; Anaerolineae; Anaerolineales; Anaerolineaceae. The record is from RNAcentral.